UACGAAGGGGGCUAGCGUUGCUCGGAAUCACUGGGCGUAAAGCGCACGUAGGCGGCUUUUUAAGUCAGGGGUGAAAUCCUGGAGCUCAACUCCAGAACUGCCUUUGAUACUGAGAGGCUUGAGUCCGGGAGAGGUGAGUGGAACUGCGAGUGUAGAGGUGAAAUUCGUAGAUAUUCGCAAGAACACCAGUGGCGAAGGCGGCUCACUGGCCCGGUACUGACGCUGAGGUGCGAAAGCGUGGGGAGCAAACAGG
This 253-nucleotide ribosomal RNA is filed under the name uncultured bacterium. Its description in RNAcentral is "partial 16S ribosomal RNA". It matches the Rfam family "Bacterial small subunit ribosomal RNA", at positions 524 to 776 of the family's 1533-position model. The record is from RNAcentral.